UUCUGAAGCCAUGGGGGCUGGGUCAGGCCGAAGUCCCGAGCUGCAGCCGCGCAGAAGGAGGAACAGGAAACCCCGCGCCGAGCCCUCAAACCGAGCGCAGACGCCUACCCGCACGAGUCGCGGCGCUGCAGCCUGCGCCCACACCGACCCUGCGCAAGAUCGCGGCCCGCCUCCCGCACGCGACGGAUCUCGAACCUUCGCGAGGCAGCCGCCGCCACCGCCCACCGCGAGCACGCACAGCCCGCCAAGCCUGGCUCCACCCACCCUUCCUCGCCUCGCCGAGCCUAGCCCCACCCCUCCCCGCCCCGCCGAGUCUGGCUCCGCCCGCCUGCCGAAUCUCCUAGCAACGCUCAAGUCUCGCGAGCGAACCGGCAAUCCGAGAAGAGUAAUGUCUUGCUCUCCGCCCUGACAACUUUUAUGUAUUAUAAUUUGACCGCGCUGGGCCACGCUGCGCAGUCGCAGCUCGGAACCGCUGCGUUAACCCAGCCCCGGAAAUAACGUACCGAUCUUCGGAGUCCAAGUCGGAAGUUGACUAGAGAGUCACCUGCUUUCGUCCGCUCUAGGACACCAGACACACCAGGCCGCCAUGUUGUGUAAGGAUCCCCAGCCAGUGAGCCUAAAAUGGGUAGAAGGAAAAGAUAUUUCUUACCCUACGCACCCAGGUCCAAGUCAUCAUUAUUUUGUCUGAAAUUUAUCUUCCUAACUGAUUUCUCUGCUUCCCCAUUGUGCCUUAAGAGUUAGUUUUCCACAGAGCAGCUCGAGAUAUCUUUUCAGAUCAUUAUAUCCCUUUGCUUAAAAACCUCUAACAGCUUCCUAUUAGGCUUAGAAUAAAGUACAAACUCCUUAAUGUGAA
This 853-nucleotide long non-coding RNA is filed under the name Homo sapiens (human). Its description in RNAcentral is "non-protein coding lnc-MRPS14-1:2". Lineage: Eukaryota; Metazoa; Chordata; Mammalia; Primates; Hominidae. The record is from RNAcentral.